GGGUAAGUCUUAUACGACCAGCUCCCGCUCAACUCCCCCAGGGUCGGAAGGCAGCAAGGGUAGGCGGUUGUAGCGGUGCGAUAUAAGGGGCUUGCCCCUU
This 100-nucleotide signal recognition particle RNA is filed under the name Prevotellaceae bacterium. RNAcentral's name for it is "signal recognition particle sRNA small type". It matches the Rfam family "Bacteroidales small SRP". From Rfam's summary of the family: The non-coding component of the signal recognition particle in Bacteroides The record is from RNAcentral. Lineage: Bacteria; Pseudomonadati; Bacteroidota; Bacteroidia; Bacteroidales; Prevotellaceae.